RNAcentral lists this transfer-messenger RNA (365 nucleotides) under Chitinilyticum piscinae. Its description in RNAcentral is "Standard tmRNA". It matches the Rfam family "transfer-messenger RNA". Rfam says of the family: Bacterial tmRNA, also known as 10Sa RNA or SsrA, is named for its dual tRNA and mRNA-like properties. The record is from Rfam by way of RNAcentral. Lineage: Bacteria; Pseudomonadati; Pseudomonadota; Betaproteobacteria; Neisseriales; Chitinibacteraceae.
GGGGACGCCAUGGUUUCGACGGGGGUUACAAAGCGGAUGGGGGCAUGCCGGGAUUUCAGUCACCCCGUUAAACACUGAAUUUAUAUAGUCGCAAACGACGAAACUUACGCACUGGCUGCUUAAUUGCGCCAGUCUCUACACCGCAGGGCCCUUCGGGCGGGUCGGGUCAAACCGGCAGUAGAGUCAUUAAGAAGGGAUCGCCCCGGUUCGGGUUACUUGAGCCAGGGUUAAAUCCAAGGUAACUCGCUCUCCCCAAGCCUGUCGGUCGGCGUGGAAGGGAGUUAAAUCCAAAUGGCUAGACUAAGCAUGUAGAACCCUUCGUAGAGGGCUUCCGGACGCGGGUUCGACUCCCGCCGUCUCCACCA